RNAcentral lists this ribosomal RNA (497 nucleotides) under uncultured bacterium. RNAcentral describes it as "partial 16S ribosomal RNA". It matches the Rfam family "Bacterial small subunit ribosomal RNA", at positions 28 to 507 of the family's 1533-position model. The record is from RNAcentral.
GAUGAACGCUGGCGGCGUGCCUAAUACAUGCAAGUCGAGCGAACAGACGCGGAGCUUGCUCCUCUCACGUUAGCGGCGGACGGGUGAGUAACACGUGGAUCACCUACCUAUAAGUCUGGGAUAACUACGGGAAACCGGAGCUAACACCGGAUAAUAUACUGCACCGCAGGGUUCAAUAGUGAAAGUCGGUGUUGCUGUCACUUAUAGAUGGAUCCGGGCCGCUUUAGCUAGUUGGUAAGGUAAAGGCCUACCAAGGCAACGAUGCGUAGACGACGGGGGAGGGUGGUAGGCCACACUAGAACGGAGCCGGGGUCCAGACUCCUACGGGAGGCCGCAGUAUGGAAUGGUCCGCAGUGGGCGGAAGCAUGACGGAGCAACGCCACGUGAGUUGUAAAAGUCCUGCGAUCGUGAUACUCGGUUAUUAGGGAAGAACAAAUGUGUAAGGAACUAUGCCCUUAGUGACGGUACCGAAUCAGAAAGCAACGGCUAACUACGUG